UUUUUUAAAUCUAUAAAACAUGUAGGGCGAUGCUGAGGAGUGGUUUUGUCCGUAUCUUAUCAGAAAGGAAGAGGCCCGAUAACUUAAUCACGGUUUUGAAAUCCCGGUGAAAUUUUAAAAGCGAUGAAACCACUGAAACCAUUUUGAACCGCGCUUGAAUUGUGUGUGCUGGGUUGUGAUGUGAAUCAAUAAGACAUGCAAUCCUCUAUUGUUGGUUCAACAGAUCAGAUCGGGAAAGGUCUGAACCGGCCCUCUGAUGAGGUUCCCAAUCGGGUAUGAAAACAUUGACCUUAAACGAAAGAUGUGAAGAAGGGAUAGCCUUUUUUGGCGUAUUGAUCAACGUGUGAGAGUGGAUGUGGUAAUUUUGUUUCCUGUAAGGCCAUUAAAAUGGAGAACAAUUUUAUUAAAGUAGCCAGCCAGUAAACUUAAUUCGCCAGAAAAUGGGUCCCUAGAAAAGCAAA
Long non-coding RNA from Mangifera indica (mango), 461 nucleotides. RefSeq lists it as uncharacterized. The transcript is spliced from 2 exons. Lineage: Eukaryota; Viridiplantae; Streptophyta; Magnoliopsida; Sapindales; Anacardiaceae. The record is from RefSeq and is a predicted model, not a curated record.